RNAcentral lists this ribosomal RNA (253 nucleotides) under uncultured bacterium. Its description in RNAcentral is "partial 16S ribosomal RNA". It matches the Rfam family "Bacterial small subunit ribosomal RNA", at positions 524 to 776 of the family's 1533-position model. The record is from RNAcentral.
CACGUAGGGCGCAAGCGUUGUCCGGAAUCAUUGGGCGUAAAGCGCACGUAGGCGGUCUGUUAUGUCGGAUGUGAAAGCCCUCGGCUUAACUGAGGAAGUGCAUCCGAAACUGGCAGGCUAGAGUACUAAAGAGGGUCGCGGAAUUCCCGGUGUAGAGGUGAAAUUCGUAGAUAUCGGGAGGAACACCGGUGGCGAAGGCGGCGACCUGGGUAGAUACUGACGCUGAGGUGCGAAAGCGUGGGGAGCAAACAGG